CCAGUUGUCGUAGCCCCAACUCUCCUCUCCACUUGCAGUCGACCACCUUUGGGCAUCUAUUGCCAAGAUUGCUUGCAAGCACUCAGGUGGCCAUGAUUUGUCCUGGGAAUGUAGUUUAAAGGUUCCCAUUUUCGACUCUCUCUUCUUCACUUUCUUCCAAGAAGAAAAUUUAGACAAACAAAGAGAAUCCGAGCAGGAAAGAGAGUGCAGAAAAAAAAAAAAACAGAGUGUGUGUAGUUAGGUGUCGAGAGGAAGUUCUGGUGCAAAGAGGAAGGAAUCUUCCUUCUGUUCUAAGGUAGGUGAGUCGUCUUCUCUCAGAGUUUACUUCCUCUUUUUUUCCAGAAUACUCACACGUCCUUCCAAAAUUUUUAAACCCAAAAUUGCAGUAACUUCGUUGAACUGUUGCAGGUAAGUUCGGGUUUCUGCUUCUUUUUACUUCCAGAUUUCACUCAUUUUCUUAAUCGUAGAUAGUUAGUAAAUUGUUAGAAUGUUAGCCAUCUGUUAGGAAUCGAUUAAACAAGCUGAAUACUCUUAAAAACCAGAAGUUUAUCCCAUUUCUCAGUAAUUGCAGAAUUGUUCUUCAAGCUUUGAAACCGACCCUGUCCUUGUAUUUUUCAGCUAAUUUCUGUUACUUCUUUGAGGUAAGAUGGGUAAUACUCUAGAUUAUAUAAAUAUGACAUUUAUAUAUUGCAUUUCAUGGGUAAUUUUCUUUAAAAUGCGUAAUGAUGUGGAGUGUUAAAAUGGAAAGGGUGAGUGUGUAUAUUAUUGUGUUUAAUGUUUACAUGAAUUGUUUUGUCCAUAUUUUUAUUUGGAUUUGUUGAUGGUUUUGCUCAAUCAAUGAUGAAUGUUGUUUACAAACAGAAAAUGGGAAGCAAAGGGAUGAAAACAGGGGCUCUAUUGCCUCUGUCAAGCAGGUUAGGCACCAAAGUGCCUCUGUUUCAUAACCACACAGCUUUGUCGUGUUUGUUUGCAGAAGAGGAGUUUUCGGGCACCCGAAAUAGCCUGGAAUUCCCUCUGGUAGGUUGCAACUCUACAGUUUGCCGAGCUGGAGAGUGUUGGAGAUGUUCGGGCAUCUGCGAAUGCCAAAAUGGGACCAGUGCAGAGUGCCAUUGCAAGGGGGCCGUGAUGGCCCAACAGGCAUGAAAUCAUUCCAAGGGGCCUUCACGGAAGCCCACUGGGCCACGAGCCCAACAGGGGGAUUUUCCUCUUGGGCUUGACUUUUGGAUCAGAUGGCCUUUUGGGAGAACCAAUAAAAUUAAUAAAUUUGGAAUUGUGAAGGUUAAUUUAGAAAAUUAUAAACUGUCAAUGAAAUGAGAAUUGGCUAAGAUUAUUGUAAUGAAAGAAAUUAAUAGUAAAUAAAAUUUAAACACAAAAUUAAACCUUGAGAAAAUAAACCAAAAGCCAAUAAAAAAAUUAGAA
This 1419-nucleotide long non-coding RNA is filed under the name Carica papaya (papaya). Its description in RNAcentral is "long non-coding RNA (CPAP_LNC003841)". The record is from RNAcentral. Lineage: Eukaryota; Viridiplantae; Streptophyta; Magnoliopsida; Brassicales; Caricaceae.